RNAcentral lists this non-coding RNA (47 nucleotides) under Echinostoma caproni. Lineage: Eukaryota; Metazoa; Platyhelminthes; Trematoda; Plagiorchiida; Echinostomatidae. The record is from RNAcentral.
GCACUGCUGACGAGUCCCACACAUGACGAAACAGAUGUGUCCAGUAC